UACGUAGGUGGCAAGCGUUAUCCGGAUUUAUUGGGCGUAAAGGGCUCGCAGGCGGUUCCUUAAGUCUGAUGUGAAAGCCCCCGGCUCAACCGGGGAGGGUCAUUGGAAACUGGGGAACUUGAGUGCAGAAGAGGAGAGUGGAAUUCCACGUGUAGCGGUGGAAUGCGUAGAUAUAUGGAAGAACACCAGUGGCGAAGGCGGCUACCUGGUCUGCAACUGACGCUGAGGAGCGAAAGCGUGGGGAGCGA
Molecule: ribosomal RNA, 248 nt
Filed under: uncultured Bacillus sp.
Lineage: Bacteria; Bacillati; Bacillota; Bacilli; Caryophanales; Bacillaceae
Description: partial 16S ribosomal RNA
Rfam family: Bacterial small subunit ribosomal RNA
Source: RNAcentral